Molecule: small nucleolar RNA, 103 nt
Organism: Sorex araneus (European shrew)
Lineage: Eukaryota; Metazoa; Chordata; Mammalia; Eulipotyphla; Soricidae
Source: Ensembl
AUCCUUUUGCUUUUCAUAAGCAUGAUGAUCAAGUGUUCACAAGUCUAAUAACAUGUGACUCCCUAAAAUCCUAUUCCAACAUUGACAUAGCACCCAUCAGAUU